Molecule: RNase P RNA, 364 nt
Filed under: Candidatus Zixiibacteriota bacterium
Lineage: Bacteria; Pseudomonadati; Candidatus Zixiibacteriota
Description: RNase P RNA component class A
Rfam family: Bacterial RNase P class A
About the family: Ribonuclease P (RNase P) is a ubiquitous endoribonuclease, found in archaea, bacteria and eukarya as well as chloroplasts and mitochondria. Its best characterised activity is the generation of mature 5'-ends of tRNAs by cleaving the 5'-leader elements of precursor-tRNAs. Cellular RNase Ps are ribonucleoproteins.
Source: RNAcentral
CUGGCAGGCCGAGCGGCCGCUUUUACGGCAAGCGAUUGUCGUAGAGGAGGAAAGUCCGAGCUUUUAAGAGCAGGGUGCCUCGUAACGCGAGGGGUUCGCAAGAACACGGAAAGCGCCACAGAAAACACACAGCCGUAAGCAAUUACGGCAAAGGUGAAAUGGUGGUGUAAGAGACCACCGCUUCGAUGGCAACAUCGAAGGCACGGCAAGCCCCACCCAAAAGAAAGGCCAAGCAGGAGAGAUGAAGUUGCUCGCUUCGACAAAUCUCCGGGUAGGCCGCUUGAGGUUUGACGCGAGUCAAAUCCCAGAGAAAUGGCCGCUGCCCGUAUGGGAACAGAACUCGGCUUAUAGGCCUGCCGGUAUU